AACGCUAGCUACAGGCUUAACACAUGCAAGUCGAGGGGAAACGACAUCGAAAGCUUGCUUUUGAUGGGCGUCGACCGGCGCACGGGUGAGUAACGCGUAUCCAACCUGCCCAUGACUUGGGGAUAACCUUGCGAAAGCAAGCCUAAUACCCGAUACGCUUCAUAGAUGGCAUCUGAAAUGAAGUAAAGGUUUACGGUUAUGGAUGGGGAUGCGUCCGAUUAGCUUGUUGGCGGGGUAACGGCCCACCAAGGCAUCGAUCGGUAGGGGUUCUGAGAGGAAGGUCCCCCACAUUGGAACUGAGACACGGUCCAAACUCCUACGGGAGGCAGCAGUGAGGAAUAUUGGUCAAUGGGCGAGAGCCUGAACCAGCCAAGUAGCGUGCAGGAUGACGGCCCUAUGGGUUGUAAACUGCUUUUUCGCGGGGAUAAAGAGGGGGAUGCGUCCCCCGUUGCAGGUACCGCGCGAAUAAGGACCGGCUAAUUCCGUGCCAGCAGCCGCGGUAAUACGGAAGGUCCGGGCGUUAUCCGGAUUUAUUGGGUUUAAAGGGAGCGUAGGCCGGAGAUUAAGCGUGUUGUGAAAUGUAGAUGCUCAACAUCUGCACUGCAGCGCGAACUGGUUUCCUUGAGUACGCACAAAGUGGGCGGAAUUCGUGGUGUAGCGGUGAAAUGCUUAGAUAUCACGAAGAACUCCGAUUG
Molecule: ribosomal RNA, 695 nt
Filed under: uncultured bacterium
Lineage: Bacteria
Description: bacterial SSU rRNA
Rfam family: Bacterial small subunit ribosomal RNA
Source: RNAcentral